Molecule: long non-coding RNA, 637 nt
Filed under: Callithrix jacchus (white-tufted-ear marmoset)
Lineage: Eukaryota; Metazoa; Chordata; Mammalia; Primates; Cebidae
Description: lncRNA (ENSCJAG00000062889.2)
Source: RNAcentral
CAAAAUGGGAGUCCAAACCACCUGUUCAUGGAGUUUAGUGUUCAUGGUCUAGAAGAGCCCUGGCUGGAUUUUAUAUGUACUAUUUCUGCCACUGGCCAAGUAAAGAUCAUAGGAGAUGCUCGACACUCAGAAGUCAAAGCAUGGAAAGUGAGGUGUGGCAAAAGGAAAGCAGCUUUUAUUGGUCAAACGCCUACAAAUGAGAGAAUGGCCAGGCUCAAGCCUCAAAGGAUUCAUGGUUGGCUAAGUACCAAGUUGUUCAGGAAAAAUAUCUCACAACACUUCCAAUCAGAAUUCAGAGGAAAUGUCACCUACGUAAACUGCAACUUGACCAACAGUUACUUACAGAGAACCAGUUUAAGGUUUAUUUUCCACCACUGUGACUUUGUGCCCUUCUGUAAGCAUAUCAGGGAAAAGGAAGUCGAUGAUUUUACUCACUUACUUUCUCGGUCUCUGGUGUCCUUCCUAUAAAUUUACUGCAAGAGAUGCUACCUUUUUUAUUCCUUGGUCCAUGGCCAUGCAUCAUCUGACUUCUGCUCACAUCACAUCAUCACAUUUCUUUCUCUGAGUCUGAUACUCCUUCUUACAAGAGCCAUUGUGAUUAUAUUGGACUCAUCCAAAUUAUUAAAGAUAUUUUUCC